RNAcentral lists this ribosomal RNA (495 nucleotides) under uncultured bacterium. RNAcentral describes it as "partial 16S ribosomal RNA". It matches the Rfam family "Bacterial small subunit ribosomal RNA", at positions 28 to 507 of the family's 1533-position model. The record is from RNAcentral.
GACGAACGCUGGCGGCGUGCCUAAUACAUGCAAGUAGAACGCUGAAGGAGGAGCUUGCUUCUCUGGAUGAGUUGCGAACGGGUGAGUAACGCGUAGGUAACCUGCCUGGUAGCGGGGGAUAACUAUUGGAAACGAUAGCUAAUACCGCAUAAUAUUGACUAUUGCAUGAUAGUCAGUUGAAAGGUGCAACUGCACCACUACCAGAUGGACCUGCGUUGUAUUAGCUAGUUGGUGGGGUAACGGCUCACCAAGGCGACGAUACAUAGCCGACCUGAGAGGGUGAUCGGCCACACUGGGACGGGGACACGGGCCAGACUCCUACGGGAGGCAGCAGUAGGGAAUCUUCGGCAAUGGACGGAAGGCUGACCGAGCAACGCCGCGGGAGUGAAGAAGGUUUUCGGAUCGGAAAGCUCUGUUGUAAGAGAAGAACGAGUGUGGGAGUGGAAAGCUCACACUGUGACGGUAUCUUACCAGAAAGGGACGGCUAACUACGUG